This 497-nucleotide ribosomal RNA is filed under the name uncultured bacterium. RNAcentral's name for it is "partial 16S ribosomal RNA". It matches the Rfam family "Bacterial small subunit ribosomal RNA", at positions 28 to 507 of the family's 1533-position model. The record is from RNAcentral.
GAUGAACGCUGGCGGCGUGCCUAAUACAUGCAAGUCGAGCGAACGGACGAGAAGCUUGCUUCUCUGAUGUUAGCGGCGGACGGGUGAGUAACACGUGGAUAACCUACCUAUAAGACUGGGAUAACUUCGGGAAACCGGAGCUAAUACCGGAUAAUAUUUUGAACCGCAUGGUUCAAAAGUGAAAGACGGUCUUGCUGUCACUUAUAGAUGGAUCCGCGCUGCAUUAGCUAGUUGGUAAGGUAACGGCUUACCAAGGCAACGAUGCAUAGCCGACCUGAGAGGGUGAUCGGCCACACGGGAACUGAGACACGGUCCAGACUCCUACGGGAGGCAGCAGUAGGGAAUCUUCCGCAAUGGGCGAAAGCCUGACGGGGCAACGCCGCGUGAGUGAUGAAGGUCUUCGGAUCGUAAAACUCUGUUAUUAGGGAAGAACAUAUGUGUAAGUAACUGUGCACAUCUUGACGGUACCUAAUCAGAAAGCCACGGCUAACUACGUG